GAUGAACGCUGGCGGCGUGCUUAACACAUGCAAGUCGAACGGGGAUAAGACAGCGGAAGUAAUGCUUGCAUUAUGGAAGGGGUCAUAUUCUAGUGGCGGACGGGUGAGUAACGCGUGGGCAACCUGCCUUAUACAGGGGGAUAACAGCUGGAAACAGCUGCUAAUACCGCAUAAGCGCACAGUGUCGCAUGGCACAGUGUGAAAAACUAAGGUGGUAUAAGAUGGGCCCGCGUCUGAUUAGCUAGUUGGGAGGGUAACGGCCUGCCAAGGCAACGAUCAGUAGCCGGCCUGAGAGGGCGGACGGCCACAUUGGGACUGAGACACGGCCCAG
RNAcentral lists this ribosomal RNA (331 nucleotides) under uncultured bacterium. RNAcentral describes it as "bacterial SSU rRNA". It matches the Rfam family "Bacterial small subunit ribosomal RNA", at positions 28 to 334 of the family's 1533-position model. The record is from RNAcentral.